RNAcentral lists this transfer RNA (70 nucleotides) under Etrumeus micropus. Its description in RNAcentral is "tRNA-Asp". It matches the Rfam family "tRNA". From Rfam's summary of the family: Transfer RNA (tRNA) molecules are approximately 80 nucleotides in length. Their secondary structure includes four short double-helical elements and three loops (D, anti-codon, and T loops). The record is from RNAcentral. Lineage: Eukaryota; Metazoa; Chordata; Actinopteri; Clupeiformes; Dussumieriidae.
GAGGCACUAGUAAAACAUAUUACCUUGCCUUGUCGAGGCAAAAUUGUGGGUUAAAACCCCACGUGCCUUA